Homo sapiens (human) is the source of this 273-nucleotide long non-coding RNA. RefSeq lists it as uncharacterized. The record is from RefSeq and is a predicted model, not a curated record. NCBI's taxonomy places the organism in Eukaryota, Metazoa, Chordata, Mammalia, Primates, Hominidae. The transcript has 3 exons.
CAUGAAUGGAGGAGGCUUGAGGCCCUCACCAGAUGCACAUGCUGGCACCAUGCCGCUUUUACAGCCUGCAGAAUCGUGAGCCACGUAUGUACAGCUACAAAUUUCCUUCUCAGCACCGUUUUCACAGCAUCCCAGAAGUUUUGCCUGGACUUUAACCACGUGGAAAGCAAGAUUAGAGGCCCCCUGAAUAGUACUGUUCACGAAGACUAAAAGGAACUGAGUGUGCCUGAGCUUAAGCAUCACGAAGACCAGUAAUAAAGAACUAUUUACAAA